Long non-coding RNA from Equus asinus (donkey), 4939 nucleotides. The record is from Ensembl. NCBI's taxonomy places the organism in Eukaryota, Metazoa, Chordata, Mammalia, Perissodactyla, Equidae.
UCGGCAUGCAGUUCUGGAAAGGUGAAGCGGCUCCUUCUGUCUGUCUGGAUUUUGCACCCCGUGGUGGGACAAUUGGCUGGGUGCUUACUUCUCGGAAGGAAGAAAAGACACACAUGGGAACACCAUGUGAAGACACAGACACACACUGAGAACACCAUGUCACACGAUAGAGGCACAGAUUGGAGGGAUACGGCCAUAAGCCAAGGAACGCCGACGAUCAACGGCCACCACCAGAAGCUGGAAGAGGCAGGGAGGGAUUCUCCCCAGAAUCCUGGAGGCAGCCGGGCCUACUGACACCUUGAUUUGGAUGUCUGGCUUCCAGAACGUGGCCACAUCAUUUUACACCCCCAUCAGCAGUCUAUGAGUUCCCUGGGACUUUUUAACUUGGAUCAAGAAAGACUGGGUUCUGAGUCUCUGGGCACUACUCGUCUAGAAGAAUGGAAAUGAUACCCAAGUUCAUCGGGGAAAAUGUGAAAGAAGGAAAGAGUUGAAGUCAUCACUGAAACUCUGCUCUAUCCCAUCUUCUUCUUCUUUUGGUGAGGAAGGUUAGCCCUGAGCUAACAUCUGUGCCAGUCUUCCUCUAUUUUGUAUGUGGGUCACUGCCACAGCAUGGCUGAUGAGUGGUGUAGGUCUAUGCCUGGGAUCCCAACCCACAAACCAGGGCUGCUGAAGCAGAGUGCGCCCAACUUAAUCACUACACCACUGAGCCGGCCUCUGUCCCAUCUUCUUCCUUGCGGUUACACAAGUCAGAAAAUUCCCCCUUCUUGCCUAAGCUGUGAGUUGGGUUUCUGUCACCCCAAGUGUCCUGACUGAUACCAUCUUCUCAGCGCUGAAUUCAGAAUCUUGAUGGCUCAAAUUGUGUUUGAGAGUGCUCCAGGUAGAACCCUCCACAGGUGAGCCACCACGUCCCAACCUGAACCAUCUUUACUUCCUUCUGCUUCUCCCCAGGUCCUUAGCCAAGAGCCUCAGACAGACCCAAAGAAAAACUUGACUCCGGCUGGUCAUCUGAUGAGAGUCAGCUGAGGAGGCUGGUGGGAAGGGUAGGCGGGAGGCGGGUUGCAGGGGAGAAGAGGGCUUGGGUCCCCCUGAGGACACUGUGGAGCAGGGGAAACUGAAGGGAGGCUGGAGGCCAGACCGGGGGAGGAGAGGAAAAGGUGGAAAGAAAAACCCAGCAGAAUCGCCAAUGUUUAGAUGGCCUUUCACAGGGCGAUUGAGACGGCUCGUCUGUGGCCAAGCAUGAAGCAACGCUCCUUCAGGUUCUGAGAGGAAAAACCUCCAAUUUUGUAAAGAUUUUAUUUUUCCUUUUUCUCCCUAAAGCCCCGAGUACAUAGUUGUAUAUUCUUAGUUGUGGGUCCUUCUAGUUGUGGCAUGUGGGACGCCGCCUCAGCGUGGCCUGACAGGCAGUGCCAUGUCCGCGCCCAGGAUCCAAACCGAGGAAACCCUGGGCUGCCAAAGCAGAGGGUGUAAACUUAACCACUCAGCCACAGGGCCGGCCCCUCCAAUUUUGUUUCCUUCGUGGAGGAAAUGAAUGGAAACUGAUGGGGAGGGUGGUUUUGGAGAUAAGGUCCAGACCACUCUGACCUCUUAAUUCUCUAGGAUCUCAAAUCUGGCGUCUGGGCCCACAGGAGCAGAGCCAGGCCAGUUGUUCUAAGUAGGAUCUAGGGAGCACACAUAGGCAGUGGGAUGAGAGCCCUGGGGGUGGAGGUAAGGAGGGCCUAGUUGCGGACAAUGGGAGAAAGUUCUGGAUAGCAGGAGCAGUGCAGCCUUUGGAGGGUGAGGGCAGGCCACUGGUGUCAUCUUACGUAUACUCUUGGUAGGAAAAUGAUUUUGUAAUAAUUUUCUACAAAGAAAAUAGAAAAAUAAUCCACUUUUCCCUCUUGCGGUGGUAAUUCAAUAGUUCAUUGAACUUUUUUAAAAUUUCUGAUAGUUGGAAUGCACAAAACACGGGACUUCAUGCACGGAUGUUUGUAGUAUUGCUCCAAGUUUGCGGCCUGCACACACAGGUCUUCUGAUCAAUUCUCUUUCACGUAUCUACGAGUUUACCGGGGCUGCCAUAACCAAUACCACAACCUGGGCGGCCUAAACAGUAGAGAUGGAUCGCCUCCCAUUUCUAGAGGAUACAAGUCUGAAAUCGAGGUGUCGGCAGGGUUGGUUCCUUCUGGGGGCUGAGAGGGAGAAUCUGUUCCAGGCCCCUCCCCCAGCUUCUGGUGCUUUGCUGACAACCUUUAGUGUUCCCUGGCUUGUGAUUCAUCACCCCAAUCUCUGCCUUCAUCUUUACGUGGGGUUUCCCCCGUAUACGUGUCUCUGUGUCCAAACUUCCCCUUUUUAUAAGGACACUAGUCGUAUUGGAUUAGAUGACCUCAUUUUAACGUGGUUACUUCCGUAAAGACCCUGUUCCGCAAUAAGCUGUCAGUCUGAGCUACUCGGGGUUAGGGCUUCAACAUAUCUUUUUGGAAGGAUACGAUUCCACCCAUUAGCAACACGAUACCCAUCAAAAAGGAAAAAAAAAAGAAGGUUAUGGUGCAUUUAUAAUUGUAUCCAUUGUAUUAUAGAGACUAUUGCUGACAGGAAAUAACUUCCAUUUUGUCUAAGCAUCUCUGAGCACCAAGUCCUCUCCUUACAAUUGUACAGGUCUGAUAAUUGGGAGAAUUUUCCACAACUUAGCCUCUGACUCCCUAGAUUUCAAACUGUCUCUCCUUUCCAACACACACAUUCUUCUGUGGCCAGGUACUGGAGGACAUGUUCAUGUCACCAUGCAAGCUCUGAGUCUGCACUUUUGUGUCAUUAUGCCAGGUGAGUCAGCUCAGCAGACAGAGGGUCCUGUGAGACCUUUCUAUACCAAGACAGACGACCUACCUGUAUGUGGAGCCUAGACAGCCACCAAAUGCAAACUGAUGUAUCCCCAAUUCAAUUUCCCCUUAAUAAGACUCCAAAAAUGCCACAGCCAUUCCAAAGCCAUAUGACAGCAAGAAGGUCAGAGUGGAAAGAGUCAGCGAUCUCAACCGAUUGCAGUUAGAACGACUUGUGUAAGAAGCACAUGACCAUGUGAACACACUGCUAGGGCCUCUCCCAGGACUUAGCGAGGGCCCCGUGCCAGGGAGGGGUUCUGAAGCUUAAACCGGACUAGCUUCAUGGUCAAUCUGCCUCACAAUGGACACCUCUGCCAUCUUCAAAAACCCCGCAAAUGUUCAUUCGAGAAAAACUUCUCCAUCUUCACAUGCCGGACCCUGUGCUGGGGACAGAUGAGGCAGGAGCGAACAAAGCAAGCUGAGUGCAAAUCUGACUUCUAGGCAUCACAGCCUCCCCGAGGGGCCUGGCCCAGGAAGGCUGGGCUCUCCAGGGAUGAGUCAUCAGAUGAAGGAGAAAAACCAGCCUCAGCUUAGGCUGGAGAGUAUGGCCUUCCUCUUGGAGGAGCGUAGUGAAACCUCCUGGGAGACGAAGCCUCCUCCUUGGGUUAUUCUCCCAGGAUGAUCCUGAUGCUGGAGAGCCUUUAACAAUGGGAGUUUGAGCCCAGUGCACGGGAGUCAAAUCCCCCACAUCAGACCUUGGAGCCACGCUUCUCCCAGGAAACUUGCCCUGCCCGGAGUCCUGGACCUGGGGGACUAGAACCUCAGCCUCCACGUCCAACCUCCCGCCUUGGCUCACAAUCUUCCUGCUUUUGCCUGGGAUGAGCAGAAACUCACAAAUGCCUAAACCAGUCCUUCCUGCCAGGGACUAACCAGUCUCAGCUGCCAGCCUCAGCUCCGGCCCAGCCUCGUUCAGGACUGUGGUGCUGUAAAUCGUUUGAAGGACACAUACCUCUGGGUGUUCCCCUCUCUGAGCCUCACUCUCUUCAUAUGUCAAGUGGGAUGACAAUGGACUACCAACUAACUCCAGGAGGGCUGUGCAGCAUGUCUUGUCCGCCCCUGUAGUCUCAGCCCAGUUGAGUGGAUGGCACACAGUAGGUGCUCAAUAAGUGUUUGUUAAGUGAAUGGAUGGAAUAAAGAGAUCCCUGACUUCUGUGUGGAGGGGGAGUAUACUUGCAAUAGUUGGUACUUAAUCAGUUGCAGGUGACAGACACCAACGCAAACUGGCAUGAGAAGGAGAGACUGUAUCGGUUCACACCACUGAAGUGCAGGGUAGUUCCAGCUUCAGGAUUUAUGGCUCCACUGACAUUACCAUGAAUUGAUCUGUCUCCACCUCUGCACUUGGCUUUCCUCUCUGUUGGAGUUAGCCUCAGGUAGGUCCAGGCGUAUAGUCCAGCAGAAAGAGACAAGUUUGUUCUCAAAAAUUCAAACAAAAGUCUCAGAAUUUAGUCUCAUUAGACUGACUUGGGUCCCUUGAACGUCCUUGAAUCAAUCACUGUGUCCAGGGACAUUUGAUGCUCCGAUCAUCCAAGGCUGCCCCUGGAGGUGACCCACCAGUGGGCAGGAGAGGUUUUGUAAAGGAAAAUCUAGGUUCUGUCACCAGGAAAGGGCAGAUGGCCUCAAGGCAAACAACAGGUGCCCACUGCCGCAUUCGGCUAAAGUGUGAACAGCGGGGCAAACCUUCCCCUCUCUGAGUGUCAGUCUCUUCACGUGUCAUUAAUGACAGUGAUGACACUGACAAAAGCCCUGCCUUUCUUCACAUGCUAGAGUUUUUGUGAGGUCCAAAUGAUACUGUGAGUUAUAAUAGCUAACAUUUAUGGAGGCAUCACCAGGCAUCUGGCCCUGUGCUAAGUAAACCCUUUACACAUUUAUUUUUAUGUUUACAACAAUCCAUUUUCCUGAUGAGAAGUAGGUUGAGACCAGUUACGAGCCUUGUACACUGUCACACAGCUCGCAAGGGUGGAGCUGGGGUUUACAGCAGUGCCCUCAAGCAUGAAGCUAUAUAUAAACUGUAAAUAAUUUUACAGGCGUAAGGGAUUAUUAGUAAUGGCCUGUACUGUUAAUAAUAGUAAUUUUUUAAAACCCUGAAAGAG